ACCUCAAAAGCCACACCCUCAGCCCCUUCCUGACGGGGUGGGGUGGCCCUUGGUCACAGCUGAGUCAUCUCCUUGGACGAGACCUGACAGUAACAGGCCCAGAGGAUCAGACGGAAGGAAGAACACAGGGCAGGGGCUCCACACGGGAACUCCUGCCCAUCGCAGCCAGGGUUCUCAUCUACAGCAGUGCCUGUCUCCCGUGUGAGGGGCUGGACCAUGUCCCCCACUCAUACGCUGGAGCCCCAGCCCCCAGGACCAGCACGAGACCUUAUGUGGAGAGGUACAGGUACAGCUGAGGUCUCGAUUCAAACCUCAUUUGGAUAUUCCAGCAGCCUUCCUUCAAACCCUGCUGUCUCCAGACCUUCCUCCGUUCCAUCGUCCACCAUGCUGGGAAAGCGACCUCUCGAAUCUUGAACUCACUAGCAGCUUUCCAGAACCUUCACAACAAAGUCCAGGUCCUUCGUCAGCCAGCAGGGACCCGCAUUCCCGGACCCCUGCCCCACAGGGUCCGAGUCCUUACGCGGGAACUGACCAGGCAGUUCGGUCAAUAGUUGUCGAAAUUGGAGCCCAGAACAGGCACGGCUGGACCAGCCUGAAGUUAAUGAAAAAUCAGAGACGGAUCCAUGACUGCGGCUUGCUCAAGGGAGCUACGGGCAGGAGAAAGGAAGACCCACGCCUUUUUGCAGAAGGGGGCGCUGGCAGGCUUGAGACGUGGAGGAGCACGGAGCUCUGGGACCUCAGCCCCGCACGGCCUCCCCGGUGAGGGGGUGCUGAUGCCCAGAUAGCUGGGAGUGUGGCCUGAGGCUUCCCAGGCCCCGUGGCAUCCUGCCGAGUCCUCACGCCUUCCCAACCACAGCACGAGGCGGGAGAGUCAGGAUUUGCAGCGAGUCAGGAUCCGCUCCUCACACCCCUGAGAAGGUGCCGCCCACGUGCUCGGAGACUCAUUCACAGCCUUGCUCAGAACACCGUGGGCACAACCGUGUGUCCUCAGGGGCGAAAACAGAAAAGCUGUGACCUGACGUGACACUAGAGGCCCUCAGCUCCCUGUGGGAAGAUUCACCAUCCUUCCAUCUGAUGACUCACCUCCAGCCCAUAGUUCCCUGUCUGCCUCCACUAACCGGGACUUAUGCUGCUACAAGCGAGCUGCCUGCUUCCUGUGUCCCCAGGGCGCAAUUCCAGCCUCACCCUGACGAGCUGGCCCACGUGAGCUCUGGAGAUAGUCCUGCGGGAAAUCCCUCGUGCCGAGCCCUCUCUGCUAGGGCUUCUGAGGGCGCUGCGCGGGGCCCAUGCUGUGGGCAGAAUCGGCGCUGGAAACCCAGUCUCAGCACCAAGGACACGGAAUUCACGUGUCGUGGUCCCGGGACAGACCGUCACCACACGUUGCUUCAUGAGUGUGCCUGAAAACUAACGUUUUUUUGCUGUGGCCAAUUACCCCUGUUCUUGAAAAAACAGAAUUGGUAUCAGCUACACGGCAGAUAAUCGAGUUGUUUAACUUAAACACUUACUUACCUAAAUUC
Long non-coding RNA from Ailuropoda melanoleuca (giant panda), 1517 nucleotides. RefSeq lists it as uncharacterized. NCBI's taxonomy places the organism in Eukaryota, Metazoa, Chordata, Mammalia, Carnivora, Ursidae. The transcript is spliced from 6 exons. The record is from RefSeq and is a predicted model, not a curated record.